AACAGCUGUCUCUUCAUUACCAACUCCUCCAGCUUGAUAAAAGCCAGUGUUCCUUUGUCAGAGAAAAGAGCUUCUUUUAAUGUCCUGUGUUGGUUGUUGGGGGGAAGGGGAAUGCACCUUGGGAGUGUUUAGGCAAGAGGCCUGCGGGCAUACCUAACCCGUAGUAUUUAAUCUGUCUAUGCACACUAGUGUGCAGGUGGUAAGGUGGUGGGGGUCAGGGAGGUGUGUGGGGUUUGCCUCCUCAGUGGAGGAGCCCUGAGCCUCUGUUUCCAGUGUCUACACACCUGCUGUCACUUCCCAAAUGGGAGGUCCAUCUGCUCUUCCUGCACCAGGCGCUGGGGCAGCUCAACAAAUAGAGAGGCUGAAUCCAGGGGCUUCGUGUGUGUACCUCAUUUCUCUCUCCACCUCCUGUACUCCCAGGUUGGUCAGACUUCAAAAACUCAGGAGCAGAGCUCCUCUGAGACCAUCCUACACAAGUAUGAACUAGACUUCAUCGUGGGAGAGCAGGGCUCCAAAGAUGGGGUCCUCCAGAGGGCUUUCCACAACACUUCCAGGCCUCAGAUACUCGGGGCAACUUUCAAUGAAACACACACGAGUUUAGCAGAACUCCAAGAUGGAUAGACUUUUGCCAAGCAGGAGAAAGAUGUUUUCCCCCUCCGCCAGUAUUUGGUUGCUACGGUGACCUGCUCCUCAAGGCCCCAAAAUAAGGGGUGAGGAAUGCGGUGCUGUGGACGUUAACGAUCGACGGGUUGAGGAAUAUGGUGCUGUGGAAGUUAACCAUCGACGGCUCAUGAAAGAAACCCUCUAUAUUUGGAGACUCUGAGCGGGACCACGCUUCACAGUUGGCAGCGAUAUUGUUUUUCUGGACAGUGUUUCAGCUUUGAUGGAUGAUGAUGUAUGUGUGCCAACAUUGAUUUGUAAUUAUGAACGUUGUAUGUGUGGGGUUGUGCUCUGUUGUGCCAGUGCGCAAGUAUAGCUGAAGAACACAUUUAAGACACCUCUAGGUGGCACUCAUAUGUCAAUCAAUCUAUGAAAGGCCCAACAUCAUGUAAAAACUGUCAUGAAACAUUUGUUGCAAUUCUCAAUGUACAGGACCAUUGGGACUCAAUUUCUUUAUAGGAGGCCCAUCAAUAGACUGACUCUGAAGGCGAGAGAAUGGGGGAAACUUGCCAAGGCACAAGGUCGGGGGAUGUUGCCAUUCCUUUCAUUUCCAAAACAAACAUGAGAUGUGAACAUUGUGAACCAGAUGGGUUUAAUGUAUCUGGUAUUCGAACAAGAUCAGGCCAGGAUGUACUCUGGCGCUGUUCAGCUCUACAAACCUCUGUCAUGUUUUCACUAUCAGGACUCUCAUAACAAAGCCUCCAUUAACACUUUAUAAAGCCUAUAUAGAUUGUGCCGAAAUCAUUCAUAAGUACAUGUCAUGGGUGGUAAAAAGAGUCAGGCCACAUUUGUCAAAGAACUACAUAUUGUUAUAUUCUCUCUGCAGAUUAAAGGCUACUGAUUAUGCCAGCCUUGCUUGCCAGGUUUGAGACCUACAGCAAUCUACAUACUGUAUGUGCAUUCGGGAAGUAUUCAGACCCCUUGACUUUUUCCACAUUUUCUUACGUUACAGCCUUGUUCUAAAAUGGAUUAAAUCUUUUUUUGCUUUCAUCAAUCUACACACAAUUCCCCAUAAUGACAAAGUGAAAUUAGAAAUAUUUGCAAAUGUAUUAAAUAUAAAAACAGACA
Molecule: long non-coding RNA, 1728 nt
Organism: Oncorhynchus kisutch (coho salmon)
Lineage: Eukaryota; Metazoa; Chordata; Actinopteri; Salmoniformes; Salmonidae
Exons: 6
Source: RefSeq, a predicted model, not a curated record